GGGUUUAAAUGGGAAGUGACAGACUUGGAAACAGGUUUUUCUUCGGACACUUUUCAAGGUGCUGCAUGGUUGUCGUCAGCUCGUGCCGUGAGGUGUCGGGUUAAGUCCCAUAACGAGCGCAACCCCUAUCGGUAGUUACCAGCACAUAAUGGUGGGGACUCUGCCGAGACUGCCGGUGUAAACCGCGAGGAAGGUGGGGAUGACGUCAAAUCAGCACGGCCCUUACAUCCAGGGCUACACACGUGUUACAAUGGCAGGUACAGAGGGCUGCGAAGCCGCGAGGUGGAGCGAAUCCCAGAAAACCUGUCUCAGUCCGGAUUGAAGUCUGCAACUCGACUUCAUGAAGGCGGAAUCGCUAGUAACCGCGAAUCAGCAGGUCGCGGUGAAUACGUUCCCGGGCCUU
This 403-nucleotide ribosomal RNA is filed under the name uncultured Alkaliflexus sp. RNAcentral describes it as "bacterial SSU rRNA". It matches the Rfam family "Bacterial small subunit ribosomal RNA", at positions 977 to 1382 of the family's 1533-position model. The record is from RNAcentral. Lineage: Bacteria; Pseudomonadati; Bacteroidota; Bacteroidia; Marinilabiliales; Marinilabiliaceae.